This 425-nucleotide ribosomal RNA is filed under the name uncultured bacterium. RNAcentral describes it as "partial 16S ribosomal RNA". It matches the Rfam family "Bacterial small subunit ribosomal RNA", at positions 354 to 796 of the family's 1533-position model. The record is from RNAcentral.
GUGGGGAAUCUUGCGCAAUGGGCGAAAGCCUGACGCAGCCAUGCCGCGUGAAUGAUGAAGGUCUUAGGAUUGUAAAAUUCUUUCACCGGGGACGAUAAUGACGGUACCCGGAGAAGAAGCUCCGGCUAACUUCGUGCCAGCAGCCGCGGUAAUACGAAGGGGGCUAGCGUUGCUCGGAAUUACUGGGCGUAAAGGGCGCGUAGGCGGACAGCUUAGUCAGAGGUGAAAGCCCAGGGCUCAACCUUGGAAUUGCCUUUGAUACUGGCUGUCUUGAGUGUGGGAGAGGUGAGUGGAACUCCGAGUGUAGAGGUGAAAUUCGUAGAUAUUCGGAAGAACACCAGUGGCGAAGGCGACUCACUGGCCCAAUACUGACGCUGAGGUGCGAAAGCGUGGGGAGCAAACAGGAUUAGAAACACCUGUAGUCC